Molecule: ribosomal RNA, 253 nt
Filed under: uncultured bacterium
Lineage: Bacteria
Description: partial 16S ribosomal RNA
Rfam family: Bacterial small subunit ribosomal RNA
Source: RNAcentral
UACGUAGGGUCCGAGCGUUGUCCGGAAUUACUGGGCGUAAAGAGCUCGUAGGUGGUUUGUCGCGUUGUCCGUGAAAACUCACAGCUUAACUGUGGGCGUGCGGGCGAUACGGGCAGACUGGAGUACUGCAGGGGAGACUGGAAUUCCUGGUGUAGCGGUGGAAUGCGCAGAUAUCAGGAGGAACGCCGGUGGCGAAGGCGGGUCUCUGGGCAGUAACUGACGCUGAGGAGCGAAAGCGUGGGGAGCGAACAGG